RNAcentral lists this ribosomal RNA (253 nucleotides) under uncultured bacterium. RNAcentral describes it as "partial 16S ribosomal RNA". It matches the Rfam family "Bacterial small subunit ribosomal RNA", at positions 524 to 776 of the family's 1533-position model. The record is from RNAcentral.
UACGAAGGGGGCUAGCGUUGUUCGGAUUUACUGGGCGUAAAGCGCACGUAGGCGGCUCUUUAAGUCAGAGGUGAAAUCCCAAGGCUCAACCUUGGAACUGCCUUUGAUACUGGGGAGCUUGAGUCCGGGAGAGGUGAGUGGAACUGCGAGUGUAGAGGUGAAAUUCGUAGAUAUUCGCAAGAACACCAGUGGCGAAGGCGGCUCACUGGCCCGGUACUGACGCUGAGGUGCGAAAGCGUGGGGAGCAAACAGG